This is a long non-coding RNA of Oncorhynchus tshawytscha (Chinook salmon), 1165 nucleotides long. Lineage: Eukaryota; Metazoa; Chordata; Actinopteri; Salmoniformes; Salmonidae. The record is from Ensembl.
GUGAGAGUGAGAGAGAGAGAGAGAGAAGAGGGUGGAGGAGAGAGAGAGGGGCAACAGGCGGUGGAAAGUGGGAGAGAACGUUUUAGGUGGCACCAGGCGGCAUUUGAAUACUCAACAGCCGACCACACACACACACACACUAAGUAUCAGCGAGGUGCAAUUGGCACAGUAGUCUUUUUGUGACUUCCCAUCCUCUAGAAUUAGAUAUCUGUCCUCUCCCAAGCAGAGACAGAUUCCCAGAUAAAAAUAGCAUGAAGUAUUCCAGUCCUCCUCCCACUCUGCUGCCAGGAUUUGAGAUAGAGGGUGAGUGUCAUAUUAGGGGUUAGCAGCCCAGUGUAAACCUGGUGAGGAGGGGGACAUCCUCAAAAGGUACCUCACUUUCCACAGUUCACUCCUGUACACCAAAAUCAGGCUAGGUCAUGAUGUCUGCACAACAGCUAGAUGGGAUCUUACGAUAAGGAUCAGUCCAAAUUGGUUAUUACAGUAAGGAUCAGCCCAAAUGGUGUUAUUACAGUAAGGAUCAGCCCAAAUGGUGUUAUUACAGUAAGGAUCAGUCCAAAUGGUGUUAUUACAGUAAGGAUCAGCCCAAAUGGUGUUAUUACAGUAAGGAUCAGUCCAAAUGUGUCCUCACAGUAAGGAUCAGUCAGAAUGGGUUCUCACAGUCAGGAUCGGUCCAAAGGGGUCCUCACAGUAAGGAUCAGUCAGAAUGGAUCCUCACAGUAAGGAUCAGUCAGAAAGGGUUCUCACAGUAAGGAUCAGUUAGAAUGGGUUCUCACAGUAAGGAUCAGUCAGAAUGGGUUCUCACAGUAAGGAUCAGUCAGAAUGGGUUCUCACAGUAAGGAUCAGUCAGAAUGGGUUCUCACAGUAAGGAUCGGUCAAAAUGGGUUCUCACAGUAAGGAUCGGUAAAAAUGGGUUCUCACAGUAAGGAUCGGUCAGAAUGGGUUCUCACAGUAAGGACCGGUCAGAAUGGGUUCUCACAGUAAGGACCGGUCAGAAUGGGUUCUCACAGUAAGGAUCAGUCAGAAUGGGUUCUCACAGUAAGGAUCAGUCAGAAUGGGUUCUCACAGUAAGGAUCAGUCAGAAUGGGUUCUCACAGUAAGGAUCGGUCAAAAUGGGUUCUCACAGUAAGGAUCGGUAAAAAUGGGUUCUCACAGUAAGGAUCGG